CAGCAGCCGCGGGAAUACGUAGGGUGCGAGCGUUAAUCGGAAUUACUGGGCGUAAAGCGUGCGCAGGCGGUUCGUUAAGACAGAUGUGAAAUCCCCGGGCUUAACCUGGGAACUGCAUUUGUGACUGGCGAGCUAGAGUAUGGCAAAGGGGGGUAGAAUUCCACGUGUAGCAGUGAAAUGCGUAGAGAUGUGGAGGAAUACCGAUGGCGAAGGCAGCCCCCUGGGCCAAUACUGACGCUCAUGCACGAAAGCGUGGGGAGCAAACAGGAUUAGAUACCCGCGUAGUCCCUGUCUCUUAUAC
RNAcentral lists this ribosomal RNA (301 nucleotides) under uncultured bacterium. RNAcentral describes it as "partial 16S ribosomal RNA". It matches the Rfam family "Bacterial small subunit ribosomal RNA", at positions 509 to 807 of the family's 1533-position model. The record is from RNAcentral.